UUCAAGAGCAACACUAUGCUUUGCUGCCCUGUGAGAUAUGGCUGCUGGGCUUGGCACAGACCCCAUGCUCCAACCCAGCCCGGAGCAGAGCUCCUCACCAACCUGCUGCUAUCUUCAACUCCUGCUGGAGACCUCAGCCUCAAACUAAAGCAGAAGCCCUGUUUGCAUUUCCCACCGCCUCUCAACAAGGGUGACUUUACUGAUGGACCCAUGUGGGAUGCUGAUAAACCCCAGAGGUGGCUGAGCUCACUGGAAGGAUGCAGAGAAGCAGCCCCAUGCCCUGGCUCCCCAGCAAAGCAACCCCGACUCUACCUCAGUUUCCCUAUUAAAAAGGGGAGAGCAUAACACGGCGGUCUCCCACAUUAGGAUCUUGAGAGGAAAGGAUGUUACUACUGUGCUAUAGUGAACACUGCUUUUGUUUGACAUUAGUUUUGAAAACUAUUUCAUUUUCGUUCUUUCUCUUGCCAGAAACACCAAAUAAAAGGACAAAAGUUGGGACGAGCGGGGAUAAAGCACCUUUUGCAUCAUAAUGAACUGUAUGUCACACAGACAUGUUAUAUCCAUGUACAGCGGAUAAGGCUGGAGCUGGCAUCUGGGUUAGAAGAUGUGUUUUGAAGCACAAAUACGUUGGAAAAUGGUGCUGCGAUCGCUGCAUUCAUCUGGUGGGUGAGUCGCUGGCAGCUCCUUCCCUUGGUCUGUCUGUGGGGCUGCGAUUUUCCCAAGUGAUGUGGAAUGGGCUCAGUUAAUGGACAGAUGGGACCUUGCACACAGAAAAAAAUGUGUUUUAUUUAAAAACUGAGCUUCAAUUACCAAAGGGAAGAAAAUUAACUGCAGGAAGAUGAAAUAAACACCCUUCUUUGGGGUCAAACAGGCGUUACAGUGGUGUGAUGUAAAAGCCAGAUCUCACACUGACUUAGGGGACUUUGCAGGCAGCUCCAAAGCUCAGAGUUGGUCUUUCCCAGUCAUUAAUAAAAGACAAAGCCAACAUUUGCUUUUAUAAACCAAAGAAUAACUCAUCAUUUCAUUCGUUGUUUGGGGUAUUGUUUUUUUUUGGUAGGGAUGUGCCAAUUUGUCAAGCCCUUAAUUUUUGGCAAGAAUUUAUCUGUGUUGAGACAACUGCUGUUGGCAAAAGCUAAUUCCAUGUACUGAUGGAAUUCGGAGGCAAAGUAGGAAAAAGAGACCAAAAAGAGAGAAGGCGCAUCCCCAGCAACCUUAUCAGUGAGAAACAGGAGAGAGCCAGAGUCAAGCUGCUGUGCCAAUAAAAUAUUAAUUAUUCAUACAAAUUCUCAUGGAGAACAGACAAAAACCAACCCCUGGGUGACCAUGAGCUUCCUCAGCACCAGCCAGGUGGGAAGCUGGCUGGGCAGCUGGGUGCUGGGAGGUGUUUGGCUUUUCCAAGAGCUCCUGGAGCUGGAGGGGGUUGAGGAUGCAGGGAGGGUAAAUGGGGUGCAUGGCUUGGUCAGUUUGGCUUCAUCCCAGGAAAACAAAGCAUCUGCGGGAGGAGAAAACCUGGUUGACCUGGCUCUUGUCACAGGGUACUGUCCAGUCGUUUGGUUUGAGAUCAGAUUUUGGCCCAAAGCAAACCUGAAAUCAAUACAAAUAAUGCUCCAAUUGGGUCAAUAAUCUGCGUUUUUAGGGUUUCUUUUAAUAUUAUUAGAAAUAUUUAUAUUACAGUAGCUUGGUAUUUUAGAAGGCUAAAAAUGCAUUUUUAUAUAAUCAGCAUUUUUAAAAGUCUAUAAACAUCCACUAUGUUUGCCUAAUGUACUAUAAAAGCUUCCAAAGGAGCUGUUAUUAUCCAACUUGUCACCUCACACAUGCUCCGAGGAGGAAUCUCUCUUUUUUUUCCUUGUCUGCUGUUAAUAAAAUGAAGCAAACCAUUAACAGCU
This is a long non-coding RNA of Pezoporus occidentalis (night parrot), 1886 nucleotides long. RefSeq lists it as uncharacterized. The record is from RefSeq and is a predicted model, not a curated record. Lineage: Eukaryota; Metazoa; Chordata; Aves; Psittaciformes; Psittacidae. The transcript has 3 exons.